Papio anubis (olive baboon) is the source of this 2261-nucleotide long non-coding RNA. The record is from Ensembl. Lineage: Eukaryota; Metazoa; Chordata; Mammalia; Primates; Cercopithecidae.
CUUUAUUAAGUAUCACCCAUGGGAACAACCCCUACAGAAGAAUCAGAAUAUAAAGGAUGUGAGCCCUGGGUUUCUCAGGCGCUGAAAGGACCUGUCAGAAUCCUCCCAGCAUUCCAAGUGAAGACAGGGAACAUGCAUCAAAGAAUGCAGCUGGAGUCUAAAACCUGGGAAAGGAGAGGGCAUGGAUUAUUCCACAGAGCCUAAAGAAGGAAUGCAGUCUUCCAGUGGUUUGAUUUUAACUCAGUAGGACCUGUGUUGAACUUAUAACCUGGAAAACUGUUAGACAAUAAAUUUAUGUUGGUUUUAGACUACUAAGUAUGUAAUUUUUCUAACAGCCACAGGAAAAUAAUACAUUUCGCAAAUCAGUGCAUGUUUCAUGAUGGUCAAUGAUAUGCCCCAGGGUCCAUUUUGGCCAUGAUUUUUAUCCCUUCAAAAAACAAAACAAAAGAAAAAAGUAAAACAAAAGGACCGAUUUUACUAUAUAAUUUGAUUUUUAAAAGUAUUUUAUAUUUAUUUAAUCCGGCAUAUCCAAAAUAUUGUCAUCUCAGCAUAAAUCAAUAUUAAAAUUUGUAUUCAGUUUUUAUAUUUUUUAAACUAAAUCUAGUUUGUAUUUUACACAUAGCAUAAGUCAAUUCAAAUUCACCAUGUUUCAAGUGUUCAAUAUCUACAUGUCACUAGUAAUAACUGUAGUGGACAGAGUUGAUCCAGAUUUUUAAGUGUAUUGGUAUAAAACUAAGUACAUUUUUAUCUUAUUAAAACAAAACAAAGCAAAACUCCAAAACUAUGUCUAUGUUCCUUUUGCUUUUUUUAACAUUGAACAUAUUAUUCUUGUUUUUAAUUUAGUUUUGUCUGUAUUUAGUUCUAUUUUUUGGUGGCUGUUAUUUCUUGUAUGGUUGGCAUCACCUUUUUUUUCAAUUUCUUAAACUAUCUAAACUAUUAUGCUCUAAGUUUAGUUCAAUUUCAAUCAGCUAAUGAAAGACUUUGAAAGACUCAUUUAACUCUCUUAAGCCAUUCUCCACAGACAUGAAAAAUCUUCCUCUCACGAUUCCCUCCUGAAACACUGCAAAAAUAUGUCAAAACGGUGUACUUUCUUGGCACAGAGUUUUAAUAAACUUAGUUUUGCUUUAAUAACAAAUUGUCUGAUUAUAUUUCAGGGAAUUCCACUGGUAAAAGCAUAAAAUAGUAUUAGUUCAGGUCAUCUUUUGUAAAGUUAUGAUUGUGCCAUAAUAUCAAUUCUUGUCAAAAUUUAUGACCUCAAAAUCAACUUAAUAUGCAUCAACAUAGAUAUUUUUUAGCAAUUCUAGACUCCAGGUGCUUAUUUAAAUAAUAUGGGUACACAAGACUGAGCAAAACCAGUUGCUAUUGAACGUACGUUUUAGAGAAAUACGUCAUGAACAGAUGUGUUUUGUUAAAUAAGGAACUUGAUGACAUAAUCAAUAUCAUGGCAGCAUGCAACUGUUGGUUAGUAUGUCUCUUUAAACAAGCACAUAUGCUCAUUCAUGGAGUGUGUAUUUGUAUCUGUGCUGUGUCUGCGUGGUGAAGCAGCAAGCAAUAAUUGGAUGUCUUGAUUAUCUAACAGCAAAAAACGCCUACAUAAUAAAAAGAAAUUCUGAUUUAUUUAUUAGUUCAACUGAGCUUUUCUUUUUAAUGUAACACAGAUGGUCCCUGAUUUACAAUGGUACAACUUUACAGUUUUGCCAUGGUACAAAAGUGAUAAACAUUCAGUAGAAACAAUACUUUUAUUACCCAUAUACCCAUUCUGUUUUUCACAUUCAGUACAGAAUUUAAUAAUUUACAUGUGAUAUUCAACACUUUAUUUAAAAAUAGGCUUUAUGUUAGAUAUUUUUUUCUGACUUUUGGCUAAUGUAAGUGUUCUGAGCACAUUUGUUAAGUGUAUUUUUUAUAUAUAUAUAUACUUUAAGUUCUAGGGCACAUGUGCACAACCUGCAGGUUUGUUACAUAUGUAUACAUGUGCUGUGUAGGUUUGCUGCACCCAUUAACUCAUCAUUUACAUUAAGUAUUUCUCCUAAUGCUAUCUCUACCCCAUCCAAUGAGAGGCCCUUGUGUGUGAUGUUCCCCAUCCUAUGUCCAAGUGUUCUCAUUGUUCAAUUUCCACCUGUGAGUGAGAACAUGCAGUGUUUGGUUUUCUGUCCUUGCGAUAGUUUGCUCAGAAUGAUGAUUUCUAGCUUCAUCCAUGUCACUACAAAGGACAUGAGCUCAUCCUUUUUUAUGGCUGCAUAGUAUUCCAUGGUAUAUAUGUG